GACGAACGCUGGCGGCGUGCCUAAUACAUGCAAGUAGAACGCUGAAGGAAGGAGCUUGCUCUUUCUGGAUGAGUUGCGAACGGGUGAGUAACGCAUAGGUAACCUGCCUGGUAGCGGGGGAUAACUAUUGGAAACGAUAGCUAAUACCGCAUAAAAUUGAUUAUUGCAUGAUAGUCAAUUAAAAGGUGCAACUGCACCACUACCAGAUGGACCUGCGUUGUAUUAGCUAGUUGGUGGGGUAACGGCUCACCAAGGCGACGAUACAUAGCCGACCUGAGAGGGUGAUCGGCCACACUGGGACUGAGACACGGCCCAGACUCCUACGGGAGGCAGCAGUAGGGAAUCUUCGGCAAUGGACGGAAGUCUGACCGAGCAACGCCGCGUGAGUGAAGAAGGUUUUCGGAUCGUAAAGCUCUGUUGUAAGAGAAGAACGAGUGUGAGAGUGGAAAGUUCACACUGUGACGGUAUCUUACCAGAAAGGGACGGCUAACUACGUG
RNAcentral lists this ribosomal RNA (497 nucleotides) under uncultured bacterium. Its description in RNAcentral is "partial 16S ribosomal RNA". It matches the Rfam family "Bacterial small subunit ribosomal RNA", at positions 28 to 507 of the family's 1533-position model. The record is from RNAcentral.